CCUACGGGAGGCAGCAGUGAGGAAUAUUGGUCAAUGGGCGGAAGCCUGAACCAGCCAAGUCGCGUGAGGGAUUAAGGCCCUAUGGGUCGUAAACCUCUUUUGUCAGGGAGCAAGGUCGUCCACGUGUGGGCGUAUGGAGAGUACCUGAAGAAAAAGCAUCGGCUAACUCCGUGCCAGCAGCCGCGGUAAUACGGAGGAUGCGAGCGUUAUCCGGAUUUAUUGGGUUUAAAGGGUGCGUAGGCGGGCUUUUAAGUCAGCGGUAAAAAUUCGGGGCUCAACCCCGUCCGGCCGUUGAAACUGGGGGCCUUGAGUGGGCGAGAAGAAGGCGGAAUGCGUGGUGUAGCGGUGAAAUGCAUAGAUAUCACGCAGAACCCCGAUUGCGAAGGCAGCCUUCCGGCGCCCUACUGACGCUGAGGCACGAAAGUGCGGGGAUCGAACAGGAUUAGAUACCCCUGUAGUC
Molecule: ribosomal RNA, 460 nt
Filed under: uncultured bacterium
Lineage: Bacteria
Description: partial 16S ribosomal RNA
Rfam family: Bacterial small subunit ribosomal RNA
Source: RNAcentral